AGAGAGAGAGAGAGAGAGAGAGAGAGAGAGAUAGGAGCGACAGAAUGGAAAGCACGGAUGACAAGACGGUUGCAGGCACACGACUGCUCUGCCGACUGUAGCGUUGCUCGUGCGCACGUGACAUGCGUGGGUGUGGCGGGUCACUGGUGGGGCAAGUGUCAGGGUGAUUGGGUGUGGUUUCUACCCAUACCACCCUGCUUCCGGUACCGAUUGGAGGAAACUUUUACCGCCUCCAAUAUGGCGUACAAGCUGGACACCGUAUUCGACGGGGGUUGCUUACAACCACCCUGACGACUCUUCUUACCCUCGUUGGCACCCCUCGAAGAACGGUGGAUAAAAACAAAGGACUACAAAUUUUGGCGACGGCGAUAUAAACGCGGACACACGUUCCCGAGAAAGUUUCUCUUCGUAUUCAUCGACGUUUUUCCUCGGGUGGCUUGUAUUUGUUCGUUAAUAUCCAUUCAUCUUCCGAACCACGCCUAGAAUACCUAUGUAUUCAUCGGAAUCGUCGCGUAAAAGAAUUCUCGAGCUUUCCCUUAGGAACUCCUUUGGUAUAAGAGACUGUCGGUGAUUCGGGAAGGAACGGAGAAUAUCGGAGGAAGGCGAAACGGUGGUAUCGGUGGGUGCUUGUGGUGGUGAGCUGACUCGACGAAGGGGAUUGUGGAGAGUACAAAAAGAACUGAGCGAAAUUAAGAACGACCAUGCUGCUGCUUCUGCUUCUCCUACUACUGGCGAAUGCACACACCGUCUCAUCUUGGAUAUCCACGAUCACGCAGCAGAUAUCCAAGGCGUUUCUAGAUCUCUUUUCCCUUUACUGGCUCACCUUUAUUUCGUCCUUCUCUUUUUGCUUGAGAAAAAGUUCUAACUCCACCGCUAAAAUAUGGAUUUUUUCCGAAUGUAUAUCUU
Molecule: long non-coding RNA, 906 nt
Organism: Vespula pensylvanica (western yellowjacket)
Lineage: Eukaryota; Metazoa; Arthropoda; Insecta; Hymenoptera; Vespidae
Exons: 3
Source: RefSeq, a predicted model, not a curated record